GCCGUGGCUCAACAGCAGAGCACCCGCUUGGCAUGCAGGAGGGUCCCAAGUUCAAUCCCUGGCAUCUCUA
Molecule: transfer RNA, 70 nt
Filed under: Sphaerodactylus townsendi
Lineage: Eukaryota; Metazoa; Chordata; Lepidosauria; Squamata; Sphaerodactylidae
Description: tRNA-Ala
Source: RNAcentral